AUGGGCGAUAACGAAAACGGAGAUAAUCUGAAUAAUCAUCAAGAUUCUGGAUCAGGAUCACAUCACGACGCGGCGCCCCAACAGCAACAGAACAAUAUGUCCCACCAACAGCAGCCGCAGCAGCAGCAGCACAAUGAGCACAAUAAGCAGCAGCAGCAACAGCGCGAUGACGUGUGCCGAGACUUUUUGAAAAACAUUUGCAAUCGCGGCUCGCGCUGUAAAUUUUAUCAUCCGUCCGAGGCGCCGCCAAUCAGCGAUCACGAUUACAAUUUCUGCAUUGACUAUCAGG
This 289-nucleotide small RNA is filed under the name Caenorhabditis elegans. RNAcentral describes it as "Unclassified non-coding RNA Y53G8AR.12". Lineage: Eukaryota; Metazoa; Nematoda; Chromadorea; Rhabditida; Rhabditidae. The record is from RNAcentral.